ACUCAAUUGUUUUGGAAAGAAACUGUGAAAGUGUGAAAGUUAGCAAAAAAGUGUGAACCAUUUAGUUAAGUCUCGGUAAUUUGCGAGGCAUACCUUUUGACCAUGUUUUAUUUUCAGGGAUUGGCAAAGUGAAAGAUGGUUUUCACGUUUUGUCUAUUUAGCUAAAAUUUGAUCCUUUUGCCCUUGCUGCUACAGCUGAAAAACUGUUAAAUGUACGGUUUAGUUAGUCAGGUUUAGUUAGAUACACUGUUCCGGUUUAGUUGAAGAUAUUUUUGUUUCACGGUGAGGAGUGCGGCUGUACAGUUAGAAGGGAGAUUUUUUU
Molecule: small RNA, 322 nt
Filed under: Arabidopsis thaliana (thale cress)
Lineage: Eukaryota; Viridiplantae; Streptophyta; Magnoliopsida; Brassicales; Brassicaceae
Description: ATSL025080
Source: RNAcentral